GGUUAUGGCGGCGGUGGGUGUUUGUCCAUGAGGUGGGGGACGCCUGCAAUUCUGUCACAGAGCGAUCCGAGCGAAGCGCUGCCAUGGCCGGAAUGUUUGACAUUGAUCUGGACCAGCCGGAGGAAAAUGUCUCCGACGAUGAGGUUGAGGAGGUUGAAAUCAGUGAUAUCAUGGACCAGUGCACUGGAUUUGAGUUCAACAUGGACGACUGUGAGAAGAUCGAGAUAUCGGAGGACAACGUGAACCAGGGGACGGAGAACAUCCGACCGACUGC
Notothenia coriiceps (black rockcod) is the source of this 274-nucleotide long non-coding RNA. RefSeq lists it as uncharacterized. Lineage: Eukaryota; Metazoa; Chordata; Actinopteri; Perciformes; Nototheniidae. The record is from RefSeq and is a predicted model, not a curated record. The transcript is spliced from 3 exons.